Molecule: ribosomal RNA, 508 nt
Filed under: uncultured bacterium
Lineage: Bacteria
Description: partial 16S ribosomal RNA
Rfam family: Bacterial small subunit ribosomal RNA
Source: RNAcentral
GACGAACGCUGGCGGCGUGCCUAAUACAUGCAAGUCGAACGCUUCUUUCCUCCCGAGUGCUUGCACUCAAUUGGAAAGAGGAGUGGCGGACGGGUGAGUAACACUUGGGUAACCUACCCAUCAGAGGGGGAUAACACUUGGAAACAGGUGCUAAUACCGCAUAACAGUUUAUGCCGCAUGGCAUAAGAGUGAAAGGCGCUUUCGGGUGUCGCUGAUGGAUGGACCCGCGGUGCAUUAGCUAGUUGGUGAGGUAACGGCUCACCAAGGCCACGAUGCAUAGCCGACCUGAGAGGGUGAUCGGCCACACUGGGACUGAGACACGGCCCAGACUCCUACGGGAGGCAGCAGUAGGGAAUCUUCGGCAAUGGACGAAAGUCUGACCGAGCAACGCCGCGUGAGUGAAGAAGGUUUUCGGAUCGUAAAACUCUGUUGUUAGAGAAGAACAAGGACGUUAGUAACUGAACGUCCCCUGACGGUAUCUAACCAGAAAGCCACGGCUAACUACGUG